Molecule: ribosomal RNA, 993 nt
Filed under: Campylobacter concisus
Lineage: Bacteria; Pseudomonadati; Campylobacterota; Epsilonproteobacteria; Campylobacterales; Campylobacteraceae
Description: bacterial SSU rRNA
Rfam family: Bacterial small subunit ribosomal RNA
Source: RNAcentral
ACUAGAGGACAACAGUUGGAAACGACUGCUAAUACUCUAUACUCCUCUUUAACAUAAGUUAGAUAGGGAAAGUUUUUCGGUGUAGGAUGAGGCUAUAUUGUAUCAGCUAGUUGGUGAGGUAAUGGCUCACCAAGGCUAUGACGCAUAACUGGUCUGAGAGGAUGAUCAGUCACACUGGAACUGAGACACGGUCCAGACUCCUACGGGAGGCAGCAGUAGGGAAUAUUGCUCAAUGGGGGAAACCCUGAAGCAGCAACGCCGCGUGGAGGAUGACACUUUUCGGAGCGUAAACUCCUUUUGUUAGGGAAGAACAAUGACGGUACCUAACGAAUAAGCACCGGCUAACUCCGUGCCAGCAGCCGCGGUAAUACGGAGGGUGCAAGCGUUACUCGGAAUCACUGGGCGUAAAGGACGCGUAGGCGGAUUAUCAAGUCUCUUGUGAAAUCCUAUGGCUUAACCAUAGAACUGCUUGGGAAACUGAUAAUCUAGAGUGAGGGAGAGGCAGAUGGAAUUGGUGGUGUAGGGGUAAAAUCCGUAGAGAUCACCAGGAAUACCCAUUGCGAAGGCGAUCUGCUGGAACUCAACUGACGCUAAUGCGUGAAAGCGUGGGGAGCAAACAGGAUUAGAUACCCUGGUAGUCCACGCCCUAAACGAUGUAUACUAGUUGUUGCUAAGCUAGUCUUGGCAGUAAUGCACCUAACGGAUUAAGUAUACCGCCUGGGGAGUACGGUCGCAAGAUUAAAACUCAAAGGAAUAGACGGGGACCCGCACAAGCGGUGGAGCAUGUGGUUUAAUUCGAAGAUACGCGAAGAACCUUACCCGGACUUGAUAUCUAACAAAUCAUCUAGAGAUAGAAGAGUGUCUGCUCGCAGAAAUGUUAAGACAGGUGCUGCACGGCUGUCGUCAGCUCGUGUCGUGAGAUGUUGGGUUAAGUCCCGCAACGAGCGCAACCCACGUCAUUAGUUGCUAACAGUUCGGCUGAGCACUCUAAUG